RNAcentral lists this ribosomal RNA (250 nucleotides) under uncultured bacterium. RNAcentral's name for it is "partial 16S ribosomal RNA". It matches the Rfam family "Bacterial small subunit ribosomal RNA", at positions 524 to 773 of the family's 1533-position model. The record is from RNAcentral.
UACAGAGGUCCCAAGCGUUGUUCGGAUUCACUGGGCGUAAAGGGUGAGUAGGUGGUGGAUUAAGUCGGGUGUGAAAUCUCCGGGCUCAACCCGGAGCGUGCGCCCGAAACUGAUUCGCUAGAGGAUGGGAGGGGAGACUGGAAUUCUCGGUGUAGCAGUGAAAUGCGUAGAUAUCGAGAGGAACACCGGUGGCGAAGGCGAGUCUCUGGACCAUUCCUGACACUGAAUCACGAAAGCCGGGGGAGCAAAC